UGUUAGUUGACGAUGCAAUCAGCAUGCUGAUUAAGGUUGCUUGGUUUUUUACUAAACAUUAACUGAAUGAAAACGGGUAGUGCUUGUUCUGCUUGGGGGGCUUUAAGGAAGCAAAUGGACUUUCAGAACAGAGAUUGUCAAUAAAGGGAUCAAAGCAUGGGCCUUGGAAGGAGGAGAAAGAAGAGGAGGUAGACCAGUCAUGAACUCCAGAACUCCUCUGAGAAUGCCUCUGUGGCAUUGCCAGCAGCCGAUGUAGAUGUAGUAUCUUUGAGGCAAGUCAACAGCAGCCAAGCACUGAGGAAGAUAAGUGAAUUUCUCAGUGCCGAUCUGUCUAUCUGGUGUCCCGUCCUUCACAGAUCUAGUCAAGACUAUUGCUAUGUUGGAAUGUUGAGAGAUGUCACAUCAAUUCAAAGAAAGGUUGAAAUAGAGUGUUUAUACAGGCAGCUGUUCAUAGAAAUCCCACAUGGAAUUCCUUAAAUAGGGGUGAUCACCGAUAGUUACAGGUGAGCUUCUCAAACCUUCCAUAAGUAAGGGUCAAUGUAGCAGCUGUCCCUUGGGGCCUGAAUUGGUGAUUUUAAGUGCCAAUUUGCCCACAUAUUUUAAGUGGGAAUUUUUUUUCCAAAACAGCAACAAAUAUAAAAACAAUCCAUAGGGUGAUAUGGUUUUCAUACGUUCUAAGGCUUAUUAAAUACUUUAAUUUGAUAUUGUCAUUCUCAACCUUUCAUUGUGGUAGUCUCUGGGUCUAAAAUCUCUUUUUCUACCUCUCAUUUCCCAAACCCACCAUUCUUACCUUUUGAAAUCCUACUCAGCUUUCAAGGGAGAGGGAUCUAAUGAUUUCACUGGUAUAAGAAUUUCCCUAGUGAUAUUCUUCCAGUGAAGGUUAUCUGCAAUUUAUAGUGUUAGAGCAAUAGUGUCAAAUUUACACAGAAAUAGAAGACACUAGUCCAUACAUAAGGAUCCAUGUGGACUUCAUAUUGAUUUAGUUUUAAAAUGAAUGUUAUCUGUUUUACUGUAUUUUUAUUUAUUUUGCUAAGUAUUUCCCAAUUGUAUUUUAAUCGGU
RNAcentral lists this long non-coding RNA (1060 nucleotides) under Phascolarctos cinereus (koala). RNAcentral describes it as "lncRNA (ENSPCIG00000029511.2)". The record is from RNAcentral. Lineage: Eukaryota; Metazoa; Chordata; Mammalia; Diprotodontia; Phascolarctidae.